GUGCCAGCCGCCGCGGUAAAACGUAGGAGCCUAGCGUUAUCCGAAUUUACUGGGCGUAAAGCGCGUGCAGGCGGUUCGGUAAGUUGGAUGUGAAAUCUCCCGGCUCAACUGGGAGAGGUCGUUCAAUACUGUCGAACUGGAGGAUGGUAGAGGGAGGUGGAAUUCCCGGUGUAGUGGUGAAAUGCGUAGAUAUCGGGAGGAAUACCAGUGGCGAAGGCGGCCUCCUGGACCAUUCCUGACGCUCAGACGCGAAAGCUAGGGGAGCGAACGGGAUUAGAAACCCCCGUAGUCC
RNAcentral lists this ribosomal RNA (292 nucleotides) under uncultured bacterium. RNAcentral describes it as "partial 16S ribosomal RNA". It matches the Rfam family "Bacterial small subunit ribosomal RNA", at positions 505 to 796 of the family's 1533-position model. The record is from RNAcentral.